UACGGAAGGUUCUGGCGUUAUCCGGAUUUAUUGGGUUUAAAGGGAGCGUAGGCCGUUUUUUAAGCGUGUUGUGAAAUGUACCGGCUCAACCGGUGAUGUGCAGCGCGAACUGGUAGACUUGAGUACGCAGUAAGCAGGCGGAAUUCGUGGUGUAGCGGUGAAAUGCUUAGAUAUCACGAAGAACUCCGAUUGCGUAGGCAGCUUGCUGUAGCGUAACUGACGCUGAAGCUCGAAAGUGCGGGUAUCGAACAGG
This 253-nucleotide ribosomal RNA is filed under the name uncultured bacterium. RNAcentral's name for it is "partial 16S ribosomal RNA". It matches the Rfam family "Bacterial small subunit ribosomal RNA", at positions 524 to 776 of the family's 1533-position model. The record is from RNAcentral.